CAAAGAUUCAUCUCCACCCUACUCACUCACCUUGCUCUCCUUCUACCAAACCCACAACCCUCGUUCUUGAAGGUCAUGAUGAAAUCAAGAUUCAACACUUCAAACUUUCGUCAAAUUUAUCUCCAGGUACAAAAUUACAUUCGAGUCUACUAGCUCUAUAACCUAUCCUUCAUCCCCAAUUUCCUUGCUAACACGUAUUUUAGUAAAUUCCUAUCUUCCCUCCCAUUCUUCCUCAUGCCCGGAGAGAAUCCUAGGGCGUGGACGGGUUAGACCAUUGAACUUGUACAAGAAAGGCAAAGGCACCUGGAAACUAUAAUCCAUGGCUGGGGUGACCAUCUCAAUAUUUAGAGCAUCUCCAAGAUACUCUAUUUUUAAAGCGUACAUUCUAUCAUUUUGAGAGCAUCUUUAAAUUUAGAGAGUUAAAAUUUUGAAAUAUUCCAACAAGUUCUUUAUAUUUAAUAUUUAAUUUUAGUACUCCAAAAAAAUAUUUAUUAUUUUUCUCUAGAUUAUUUUAUUAUUUCCUAUAUUGAAAACUGAAAUACUUUGAAUGCAUUUAAUUAUAGAAAGUGAAUUUGGCUUGACUCUUUAAAAUGGAGAGUAUAUUAUGUUUAAAGAGUCUCUUGGAGAUGCUCUUAGUCAAAUAAGCAUUUGAAGUGUUGGCCAGCUCAAUUUGUUAACUUAUUAAAGGAUAUACCUAAAUAAUAUGAGAUCUGAUUUUUGUUUAACAUCAAUGAAUAUGAUCAUAUCCAUUUGGGGUUGGGGAUGGAAAUAGGUCCAGACUGCUUGCUUGCUUGGCUUGUAUGCUUGUGAGAGCUUGGUCCAUGGGCGGCUUGGCUCAUUACAUCACGAGCCCAUGUUAUUUUUUUUAUUUAAUUAAUUAAAUUUCUUUGUCUUUUAUCCCGUAUUUAAUUUUUCUUUAAAUUCUAUUUAAUAAAACGAAAAGCUCCCAGGAUGGACCAACUUGGCUCAUCACAAGAAAGGCCCAUGGGCCAAGCCUUGCCCCUUGGUCAACGAGCAGAGCUUAGGUGGUCAACUCGACUUGGUCCGAUCCAUUGUAACCCUUAUAAUCCAUAAACAGAAAUUAGCUUAGAAAGCUAAAAAGACAUAAUGACUUUGUUCAUAAUUUUUAGUUGGGUUUUUGUUUUGGAUUCAAUAUGUAACACCUUGGAUUUAAUUUCUAUUUUGUAUGAGGUCAAAUUUUGUUAAUUUAAGGAAAUUUUUUUAACUACCAUACUUUAUGCUUACAUUUUUUAGAAUUAUCAAAGUUUGAGAAACUUUUCUUAAUUCAGGUCAUAAUUCAAGAUUUUUUUUUAUACAAAAAUAGAUAAUAAUUGAUUUACAUAGGAAUGUUACCUAAAUUAGUGGUUAUUAAAGGAUAAAUUGAUUUUUCACUCUCAUCAUAUUCAUUCUCUAAAAACUUGUUCACAGUUAUUAUCCAUUUUAACUUCUCUCAGAACAAGGAAAGUAUAUAUUGGGGCUCAUGAGUUCAUACUUUUUUUUACAUGUUUUCCGGUGAAAAUCACCCUUCUACAUGCCACAAGGUCACAACCACAAUUUUGCAUGUUACAACAAGGAGGCAUUUGCAAUUCAUAAAGGUAUGUUUGAAUCGUUUUAUAAUUUAUGACAACAUUUAUGUCACUCUAUAUAUGUGUUGUUCCUUGUGAACAGUAUAGGAUUCAUAUUAAAAGUUAAAUGCGAUAUUCGAUAUUUAAGAUCAUACAAGUCAAUGUGACCAAUGAUUUGCACAAUGAAAUUAUUGUAUUUCUUGUAUUGUUCACAAAUAUGUGUUAAUUGUGCUCAUACAUGGCACGCAAAAUUGUGAUAUUUGUAUUAUGUGAUUGUAUUUACGUGAAAUGUGAAAUCGUGACUUGAUAACGUGUGAGGUAAAAGAUGAAAUGCAACAAUUGUCUUUAUGUGUGACCUCUCAUAAUGACAGUGAAGAAGGAAUAGACUAUGGUUUUCUCUUUCCAAAUAAUAUUGAUAUGGUAAGAAUCUCAUUUUGUUUAAUUUGAAUUUUAAAAAUUAAAAAUCAAAUAUAUAUUACCACAAUUAAUGGGAUUAAAUAUAUUUAAAAUAUUUUUUAGAACAAAAAUACCUGACUUGUUAAUAAAAAGAGUUAAUACAUGAUUUUCUACCAUGGAAACUCGAACGCAUGGUGUCCUCUAAAGGGAAAUGCCAUAUUUUAAGAUUACAUUUUCAGAAAUAUCAAAGUUUGAGACUUUGGAUAACCAAGUUAUAAUUAAAAAUUUUUUGGUAUGGGAAUAAAUAAUAAUUGAUUUAUAUAAGAUAAAAAUAUUCCACAAUUAGUGGUUAUCGUAUGAAAAUUGAUUUUUAUCUCAUCAUAUUCCUCCCCUAAAAAUUUGCUUACAGUUACUAUCUUUCCCAUUUAAUGUCUCUGAGAAAAAGAAAAGAAUAAUGCUAUUUGCUGUCGCUUACUAACCAUCACAUGUAUGCUAUAUAAGGUGACUAUGGUAUUGAGCGAUUGAAAAUAACAUUACUCAAAAGAAAAUGAUAAAUUGUUGCUCCAUGAUUUCGUAAUUUCCUUGCAUAUUUUUCGGCCACAACAACCAUUCUACAUGUCAAUAGGCUACAACCAACAUUCUGUUGCCACCAUAGGUAGGCGUUUGGAAUUUUUAAAGAUAUGUUUGUGCUAUUUAAUAAUUUGUGAAUAUAGUUUUAUAACUAUAAAUGUGUUGUAUGGACGGUAUAAUAUUCAUGUUAAAAGUCAUACGUGACCAACGAUAUAUAAGCAUGUGCAUAAAGUUAAUAUGUGACCAGUGACUUAGUGAUUUUACACAAUGAAAUUAUUGUACUAUUUAUAUUUUUCACAAAACUUUGUCAAAUUGUAACUCAAGUGACCUGUGAAAUUGUGACCUUUGUAUUAAUGUGACGUGCAAAAUUGUGGCUUGAUAAUAUGUGUAAAGUGAAAAUGAAAUAUUUAUGACAUUUGUAUUUUAUGUGUGUUUUUGCGACCUCUCACAAUGCGGUAAAGAAGAAAAAGAAUUAGUGUUUCUAUCUCCAAAUUCAAAUAAUAAUUACCAGUCCAAAAAUUAAAAUCAUGUAUAUAUUACCACAGUUAACAAGACUGGGGACAAAAUAAAAACAUAUACUAUAAUUAUAUAAAAUAUUUUUUGAAAAAAAGACAUCUGAUUUUCUAAUUAAAAAAAUAAUACCUGAUUUUUAUAAUGAAACUUAAAAUCAUGGUUUCCUCUAAUUUUUUCAUUCUAUAAUUUUGAUGUUUUCCCAAAAUUUGCAGUUUCCCUGCAAUGGCUUAUACCUAUAGAUUCAAGUAUUUCUCAAUUCAAGAUAUACUCUUUUAUCCCCCGUUUGGCCCCUUUUAAAACUUUUCAAUUUAAUUUAAACUUUUUCUCUCAUACUUUGAAUCAAACAAUCUUCAAUAAAAUAAUAUUACAUUCAAAUCGAAAACUUUUCAACCACACAAUCUUCAAAAAAAUAUUAUUCCCCCCAUUAUAAAUUCAAAUAAUGGGGGCCAAACAAACUCUUAGUAAUUACGAUUAUUUCUAUUUAACUGAGAUUUUCCCUUCUUUUUGUGGAUUUUUGGCUGGGAUUGUUUAUUAAUUGAUGAAAAGUGAAGGAUUAAGCAUGAGACCAGUGGCUGACCCGUGGUAAUUCAAAUGAAAUCUAGUUUAAGAAUAAAUGUGAUGCAUGUGGAUUUCGAUGAUGAGGUCACUGCCUCACCGGUCUACACACAAGCAAGCUCGAAAAAUCAUAAAUUUAUAUUUUUGCUAAAAUUAUAUCCACAAUCAUAUUACGCAACAAAGAAUUUUAGGUUCGUGUUGUAAAGUUUGUUACAGGUGCUAAAAAUUUUUGUGCAAAUAGGCUGUUUGAUCGUUUAAUGGGGUGAUAAAAAAUUUCCCUGUUGACUCGGAUUUUCCAGCUAGACGAACAUUAGAAGUUAUUUGAAUUUUGAAUUGUUACUAUGGACGUUGGUACUCUAUUCGGAAGUGCUCAUUAGAAGUUAAUGUGACAUUUGUAUCCUUUAAUCUUAUUAUGCUCAUUAAUUCUAAGGCAAAUAUCUAGAGUAACUUGAAUGUUAGUUGAUUUUAAUUAUCCCGAAUGAUCCAUUAUUCAUGAAGUGAAUUGAUGUGACGCAGGAUGCAAUACGAGAAUUAUAGGAGAAGGGGGAAGGGGAGAGAAGAGAAGGGAGGGGAAAAGAGAGAAGAAAAGGGAGAGAGGAAGGUAGAAGUUGGGGGAGAAAUAAGUUUAUUUCAUAUAUCAAAACUUGUCUGAUUACAAAGCAUAAGACCCUUUUAUAUAAGAAUUCGUACCAAAUUGAUGCAGGAUGCAGUAUGAGAAUUAUAGGAGAAGGGAAAAGGGGGGAGGAAGAGAACGGAGGGGGCAAAGAGAGGAAGAUAGAAACUGGGGGAGAAAUCAGUUUAUUUCAUAAAUCAAAGCUUGUCUUAUUACAAAGCAUAAGACCCCUUUAUAUAGGGAUUCAAUGGGGAACAUAUAAUAAAAGCAACUAAAUUAAACCUAAUUAUGUUUCCUAAAAUACUAAUUAAAACUGGAAACUAAACACAAUAAUAUCCCUUAUUAUAUUGCAUCAUGAUGUUUCAUGUCAAGAUGAUUAGGACUGCCUAUAAGUUUCUAGCGGAAAAUAUGACUUGGUGAUCAUCAGCGACGUUCGGAUCCAUUUUCUAGUUAAAUAUGAGGCAGUAUUUCACAAUGAUGCUCUGCAUUCUGUCAUGUUUCUUAGAAGCAAGCCCAGAAGAACACCUGAGCAAAAAGUGCAGCAAGGCAAGCUUUGGCUGUUUUGUAAAGUGUUGAUAUCUCAAAGCAUUAAAAUUUGCACAAAGUUUGAGACCUUUUUCAUCUGAGCCAUUGCUUUCUUAGUUUGUUACUUGGAAUUGGACUAGUUGCUUAAAAUGUAUAUAAUCAUAAUAUAAAAUAAAUUUUUGCUAAUUUUGAAUGAAUCAGUGAUAAAAUCAACUUAUCUUUGCAGCAACUACUGAAAAUUGCUUCAGUUUCUCAAUAAUGCUGAAUUGUCAUUACAUAUUGAUUUUUGCCAUUUCAAAUAUCUAUUCUUCACUUAUGUUAAUUCUUGCAUCACUUUGCAUUUUGUGCUUAAUCCCAAGAGUUCUUUGCAUUUUGGUACAGUGCCUUGAUGACUGUAUUUCAGAUGUUUAAUAGACGUUGCACUUAGGAACUUCUGGUUUUACCUAUAAAAGGUUUUGUUCUUGCCAUGUACUUGUGAAUCCUGUUAUGUGCUAUACUUUGUAUACGUUUUUAUGUAUUUGUUUCUAUUUUCUGCUCUGGAUUCUUUGCCUAUUUAAUACUGCAGGUAGCUCAAGAAAUUGAAUCCGAAGCUAAAUACGAAAUGAUUUUCUCAACCAGCUGGUAUGCCAUUAACUGUACAGAACCUGAAUCUGAAUUGGGCCUCGACUGAUUACUGAUAUUACAUUCACUAAUUGCUGGAAAAGUAGAUGAGGAAUUAGCCGCAGUUGGCAACCUGUUUUCCUUCCGAAUUAUUGACUUAACAGACAGUGCACGUGAAUCACUCUUUUAGGCAGUAUGCUUCACAAGAGAAGAAUUUGGUGUUCGUUUAAUUCAAUUUGUGGGAAAAGGUCUUGCAAAUUACAGGUACCAUGGUGAUGUAGAGGGUUUAUGCCAUGCUUCUAUACAAUCCUUUCCUAUUAAAAAUGUUACUUCUUAUAGCACCAACAAAACCUUCAAAAAUGAAAAUUUAAAAUUUGACAUUGAAGUCAAUUGGAGGAUGGGAGUAAAGGAGUGAUGAGGAAAAUGGAAAAUCAUGUUAAAAUGAGUCUGAAGCCAUAGCUGAGAAUUGUAGUGGAUCUUGUUUUAUAUAUAUUUUGUGAACUCGUACAGUUUGAGGAAUGCAAGAAGGGAACAAAAGUUUCCAGCAUUUAUGGCGGCAUUAUUAGGGGAAGGAAGGGAAUACCCAGUUGGUCGUGCGACCCUUAUUUUGUUUGAUGCAUUAUUUUUUUAAGCUGAUUCUAUGCCCUUCUAUUCAUCCCCUUGAUCACGCUCUGAUCAUAUGGGAACUUAGGAAUUUUUAAGGCUGUUGAUUUUGGUUCGGUAAAAUUCUGUUGAAUACUCAAAAAUUGAAAUGUGCAGUUCGUAUUGCUGUCUUUUUCCAAAAUAAGAGGUUCAUGCCUCUUUUGGCCCUCACCAUCAAAAACCUUUACUUGUUUUAGAAAUUUGGUCCAAUAUUAAUCCUUGAACUGUUCGACUCAUUAUCUUGUUUGAAACGACCUAGCUCUCGUCUAUUGUUCUAUUUCUUUUACAGCAAAUGACAUUGAUCAAAGCUCAAGUAGGGGGGAAAAAUAACAUGAGGAUGCUGAACAAAAGCAUCGUCAAGGAAGGAUCAAGUCGUCAUUAAUGUGGUUCCUUUUGCACUUCUUUGUUUUUUGUUGUCGAAAUUUUCACAAAGAUGAACAAGAAUACUUCUCCAUUGCUUUCUCCCAGGGCUGGUACAUUAAGUUCACUUAAAAAAUAUCUGUCUACGUAUAUAUCAAAUGCAUUUUCUCUCAAAACCUUUCACAUGGCUUAUCCUUUUAAGUUGUUACAAGUCAGAAAAGCAUGCUUGUGGUUAUUCCAACCUUCUUGUAAAAUGUAAAUAGUUAUAUGGAAUGGCUUGUAAAUACUCCGCUGAAGCAAGAAUUAGAAGAUAUUAUUAUUUUUUCCGUAUGUGUUUAAAAAUUUCCUGUGUGAAGAUGGAAAAGUUGGAAAAGAUGGAAACUGAUAAUAUUAGUCUCUCUCUCUCUUUUUUUUUUUCCCCCAAGAAAUUGGAAUCCUGGGAAUUUUGCCCUAGGAUAUCAGAAGUUUAGUAGGUACCCUUUAUAACAAGAAUUGGAAUCUUUGAUGCUAUGUCCAUCGAACUUAAAAAUCCUACGUUAACUAAGAAGCUGCUACAUGGAAGUACUCCAGUAAAGUGUUUCUAGAGUUAUCAUUGUAAAGAUUGGGUUUUGCUGAAAUUUGAGCCCGAAAGAUGGUUGCUGGCCUACUGAUCCUUUUCAUUGUUCGGCCCAAUUGCUCAGUCCAUCUAAAUGAAGGUUUAGACUUGAAGAAUUUUGUUUCUUAACUAUGAUUACUGCAUUCGUAACUUAAAUUGAAUGGAUGGCUGACACAUGAAGUACUUGUGACCGUUGGAUGCAUAGAUGAAAUGAUACAUAUACUAUCUGUAGUCAUUUUGAAGGGGUGUGGAUGAAACCCUAGUUUCUUGACAUUUUUUUUUUUUUUUUUUAACGAGGUCUCCCAGCUUGCGCCAGACUAUAUAUCGUCGUCCCUGAACCUCCGGCCCCUCAGCUGCUCAGGGAGGUAAAUCGCAGAAUGUGCCCUUAGUUUCUUGACAUUCUUUGUUAUGCUUCGUGUGGUUUGUGAGAGAUUCACCAUGUGGGUGAUACUCUUGUAAAUUCUUGAGUAGAAUUUUGAUUGCUGUUAAUCAAUAACUGUUAUCCUCAUUUGUGAGUAGUUUUUAUACCAUUGUGGGAUAGCAGAGUGAGUUGGGAGGGAGAAAUCUUUUGAACAUUUGGUAUUCCUUUGUAAUCGAUAUUCUUGCUUGUUUUUGGGCUGUGUUAGUGGAUUAGAUAGCUAUCGCUAAACCUCCGGGGCCUGUGGCCGAAAAUUCUCGUGUGUUCUUUUGAUUUCUUACGUUUCUUUUAAACAAAGUUGGGUCACAAAUUUGGGACCUACAAUGGUAUGAGAGCUUGAAAACCCUUUGAUUCAUGUUCAAAUUUGGUUUUAAAACUCGAUUUGGUUCUGGUCGACUCUUCUGUUUUAAAGAAAACGUCAGAUUUGAGACAAUUUGUUAAUAUUCCUUAAAGAAAUUUCUUGAUAUGUACUUGAAGUUGCUUUGGGAGUAUUCUUGAGUAUUCUUUCAUGUUCACACUUCUGGUAACAAGUUUCAUAACCCUCUCUGAAAUUUCGAAAUGGGGAACCUAUGAGAAUAUUUUUUUAUUUUUUAACAAAGGAUUCCUGAAAACCUCCCUAAAUUUACCUUUGUCUAGGGAUCCCUGAGAGAACCCUAGAAUUUGAGGGAAUUAGGGUUUUGGUUUAAGGAAAUUCAAAAUUUUCAAUGACUUUUUGAAGUUGAUAUUUUGCUACUUUGUGUGUGUGUGCUAUAAUAUCUUAACUGGUUUUUAAAUUCACAUACCUGUUUUGAAGUGCUACAUGGGCCUUGUUUGAAUCCAUUAAUUUGGAAAAAUGUAUUAUGAAAUAGUGAAUGAUGGAGAAUGUGUGGUUAAAAAAGAAGGAUUUUUUUUUUACUUAUGUUUAAUAUUAUUUUAAUGAAGAAUGUGUGGUUAAAAAUGAGUAAUGUAGAAAAAAUUAUGGGAAAGAAUUUUAAGUAAAGGAUGACAAACGGGAGCAUAUUGUUAACUUUGUAUUGAUACUCUAAUUGUGUUUAUUUUGGGAUUACGCCUCUAUUCAUGUGAAUAACUUGAUAUCAUAUGUUUUGAACUUUUCUUCUUGUUUAUUGAGUGUAAGCAUACCUGUUCUUGAUAUUUUUAUUGUAUAGUCUUUCCUUAUAUUUGGAUUAUACUCUCUAUCUUGCAAUUGAAUUUUUUAAAACCAUUUGUUUAAUAUAUUCUUACUUACAAUUUUGCACAAUUAUCACAUUGUUGCAUUCUAAAGUAGAUGUUCAGAUUUGGGAUGGCAAAGGAGACUUUAGCCUCUGGUGAUGGAAAAUUAAAGCUCUUAUGCAACAGUUAAAAUGUGCUAAAGUCAUUGAUGCAAGUUGGCUAGAAAACCUACCUGUGGAUAGGAAAACUAAACAAGACGAAUUAGGGUAUAGUACUAUGUUUCUCGACCUAUUUGAUUAUGUAAUUAAGAAAGUAGGGGAAACCAAUACUACUGUGGAAUUGUAGACUGCUUUAGAGAAACGGUAACUCACUAAGACUCUACCAAAUAAGUGUUAUCUUUGGAGACAAUUUUUUAGUUUUAAGUUUGAUCCUAGCACUGACUCUGGAGAAAACAUGGACAGAUUUAAUAGGAUCACUUAGGAUCUGAUAAAUUGUGGUGAAAAGAUUUCUGGUGAACAAAAAGUGGUUGGUUUGCUUAAUGCACUAGGAGAGAAAUGUAAAGACAUAAGAAAUGCUUUAGAAUAUGUUAGAAGAGACUUGACUGUUGAUAUAAUUCAUAGCCCUCUUUUAAAUAGAGAAUUGGAAUUAAGAUCUGAACAUAAAGAGGUCUUUCAUGAUGAGAAUACCUCAUCUAAUACAAAAACUCAAGUCAAAGGUAUGAGUAACUUUAGUCGAGCUAAUUAUAAUAGAGAUAAUAAUCUCAUUCAAAGAGGCUAAGAACAAAAAGUGCUACUGCUACGGAAAAACAGGUCAUUUUAUAGAAUGUUUUAAGAAAGCUAAUGAUCAAGAGAAUGGAUCCAAUCUUGAGAAUGGUUCUUUAGCCAUUGCUGCCUUUUAUAAAGAAGCAGGAGCUAAUGCUGGGGUGGUUUAUGUAGCUUCAACUGAAAGGAUUGAUCAGAAUUGUGUUUUAGAUUCAGGUUGCUCCUUUCAUUUGAGCCCCAAUCUCAAUUGGUUCUCUAAUUUCUCAAGACUAGAUGGAGGUUUUGUGAAUCUUGGAAACAUGAGACAUGCCAAGUAAAGGGUAUUGGCAAUUUUGUCAUGGGGUUUGAAAAUGGUCAACACAUGAUGUUAAAACAUACUAGGUAUGUUCCAGCGUCAAGAAGAAAUCUUAUAUUGUUAGGGGUUCUAGAUGAUGAGAACUAUCAUAUUGAAAUCAAUAAUGGUUUUAGAUACAUAAUUAGAUACCAAAAGCUCAUUGUAGAUUCCCCGAACUCUAAUAGAAUCUAUGUUAUCAGUUCUGAACUUGUUUCACCCAAAUGUGUAAACUUUGUAACAUAAUAUGAUAAAUCGCAAUUAUGGCACAAGAGAUUAUGUCAUCUUAGUGAAAAAGGCUUGUUCUUCCAAAUGAAGGGCAGAUGAGACAAAUAAGACCUUCUUCUAGAUUUCAAUAUGCAGAUUAUGUAUGUCUAGUUUGAAUUUGAUCCUUUUGAUUUGGAACCACCUUCUUAUGAAGAAGCUGUAUCCUGUAAGGAAUCCUCUAAGUGGCUUAUAGCAAUGUAAGUGGAGAUGAAUUCCUUAUGUAAGAAUAGAACUUAAAAUUUGGUAGAAAAACCCAAAGGCUGCAAACUGAUUAACUGCAAAUGGGUUUAUAAAAUCAAAUAAUAAAAGAUAUAAGGCAAGACUUGUAGCAAAAGAUUUUACACAGACUAAAGGAAUAGACUAAAUCGAAAUUUUUUCACCUGUUGCGAAAUACACAUCUAUUAGAAUAUUACUUGCCAUUGUAACUCAAUUUGAUUUAAAGUUAGAACAAGUUGAUGUUAAUACUGCUUUUCUACAUGGUUCUCUAGAUGAAUCCAUAUAUAUGACUCAACCAAAAGAUUAUGAAGUGAAGAAAAAGGAGAACUUAGUGUGUCUCUUGAAUAAAUCCCUGUAUGGUCUAAAAUUGGCUACAAGGCAAUGAUAUACGAGAUUUCAUUCUUUUAUAUAGGGAUUGAAGUUCAAAAAAUUUGAAUAUGAUCCAUGUUUUUUAUUUAAAAAAUGAUGGAGAAAUUGGAUUUUUCUAUCGGCUCCCAUAUGUUGAGUACAUGCUACUAGUUGGUCACAAUUCUGUUACUCUCAACUUUAUAAAGGAAAAGUUGAAAUCUGAAUUUGAAAUGAAGGAUUUAGGACUUGCUAGGAACAUGGAAAUAAAAAGGGGCAAAAUUAAUGGAAAACUAUUUCUAACACAAAAAUCUUAUAUUGAAAGAGUGGUUAAACGAUUUUUUGUUUAUGAUGCUAAGCCUAUUAGUUUGCCUUUAUCUGCUUGUGUGAAUUUAUCUAUUGAUCAAUUACCUAAGUUGAAGAUGAAUUUAAAAGAAUGAUGAAUGUUCUAUAUGCUAAUGCUGUUGGAUCUAUCAUAUAUGUGAUGGUGUGCUCUAGAUCUGAUAUAGCUUAUGUUGUAAGUGUGAUGAGCAGAUUCAUGAGUAAUCCAAGUGAUCUUUAUUGGGAAGCUAUGAAAAAUUUAAUCAAAUACUUGAAAGGCACAAAUCAAUCAGGACUUAUGUUAAAAAUUGAUAAAGAUGGUCUUGAGUUGAAAGGGUAUGUUGACUCUGAAUUUUGUUAGAAACGUAGACAAUAGGGAGUCUAUAACUGCAUAUUUCUAUGUGAUAAAUAAUACAUGUAUUAGAUGAAAAUCUCAACUUCAGAAAUUAGUUGCCUUGUCUUCAAGUGAGUCUGAAUAUAUAGUUACAAAUGAAGCAGUAAAAAAUGUUCUAUGGCUAAAAGGCUUAUUAAAUGAUCUAGGUUAUGGAAAGUAAGGUAGAGUUAUGGUUAGAUAAUCAAAGUAUCAUUUUCUUAAGUGAAAAAUCAAAAUUUUCACGAUAAAUUUAAGCAUAUAGAUGUUAAAUUUCAUUUUAUUAGAGACAUACCACUUAGUAAAUUCAUUGAUUCUUUGGGAUUAUUGAAAUUUGAAGUUUGCUAUUUUUAUUUUUAUUUUUUCCUUUCUUUGUGAACAGGUAACGAGUGCAAAUGAAAUUAGUUAUUUAGUUUUUAAAUGCACUUCGCUAUUGUCUCAAAUUACGGCAAGGUGGCGAUUGUAAAGAUUGGAUUUGCUGACAUUUUAGCCCAGAAAAUGGUUGCUGGCCAAUGAUCCUUUAGUCCAUCUAAAUGAAUGGAUGGCUCACGCGUGGAGUACUUAUGACCAUUGGAUGCAUGGUUAGAUGGAAAACGAUACAUACACCAUCUGUAGCCAUUUGAAGGGUGUGGAUGAAACCCUUGUCUCUUGAUAUUCUUUGUCCUGCUUUGUGCUGUCCGUGAGAGAUUUAUCAUCUGUGUGAUAUUCUUGUAAAUUCUUAAGUAGAAUUUUUAAGGGUUGUUAAUCAAUAACAUUUAUCCUCAUUUGUGAGUAGUUUUUUAUUCAUUUCUAGAAUAGCAGAGAGUGAGUUGAGAGGGAGAAAUCUUUUAAACAUUUGGUGUUCUUCUGUGAUCGAUAUUCUUGCCUAUUUUUGGGCUAUGUUAGUGAAUUUGAGCGAAAUUUUAAUGCAUGCUCAACAAGAGAUUGAGCAUUCGAUAGCGGUCAUUGAACUUUUGAAGCCUUUGGUCGAAAAUA
This 12087-nucleotide long non-coding RNA is filed under the name Olea europaea subsp. europaea. The record is from RNAcentral. Lineage: Eukaryota; Viridiplantae; Streptophyta; Magnoliopsida; Lamiales; Oleaceae.